RNAcentral lists this ribosomal RNA (369 nucleotides) under uncultured organism. RNAcentral's name for it is "bacterial SSU rRNA". It matches the Rfam family "Bacterial small subunit ribosomal RNA", at positions 526 to 896 of the family's 1533-position model. The record is from RNAcentral.
CGUAGGGUGCGAGCGUUAAUCGGAAUUACUGGGCGUAAAGCGUGCGCAGGCGGUUUUGUAAGACAGAUGUGAAAUCCCCGGGCUCAACCUGGACCUGCAUUUGUGACUGCAAGGCUAGAGUACGGUAGAGGGGGAUGGAAUUCCGCGUGUAGCAGUGAAAUGCGUAGAUAUGCGGAGGAACACCGAUGGCGAAGGCAAUCCCCUGGACCUGUACUGACGCUCAUGCACGAAAGCGUGGGGAGCAAACAGGAUUAGAUACCCUGGUAGUCCACGCCCUAAACGAUGUCAACUGGUUGUUGGGUCUUUACUGACUCAGUAACGAAGCUAACGCGUGAAGUUGACCGCCUGGGGAGUACGGCCGCAAGGUUG